CCAGCUGUCCUGAGGGCUGGAGGCGCCAGAACCAGGGGCCUUAGGGGCAAGAAGGGGAGGGCAUGGGGUCAUGACAUGGUAGGAGGACGCCCCGCCCCCGCCUAGAGUGUGUGGCCGAGGGAGGGCUGGGUCUUCCCACCCCACAAGGUCCCUUGCACACUACCCAUCUGUCCAUCUGGGGUGUCCAUCUGGAAAUCAAGGGCGACUCAAUCUAGGGCGUCGGACUCCUUUUGGCUUGCCCAGGAGUUCCCAUUUUUUAGCACUAAAAAUCACACUUCCCAGGGAACGUUGAAGCCUGUGGUGGGGGUCACCUGAAGUGUACAGGAAGCCAACCAUGGUGCCAAGGGAGUCAGGGACCAACCAAAGGGACUUACCUUUGAAAAAGAAGGUUUCACCGCGGAUGUUGGCAAUGGCAUCAAAACUGCCCUCACAUCGAUCAGGGACAGGUGCCGAGGGGCUGGGUAGGAAAGCUGCUGCAGGCCAUCACGGUCAUCCUGGGACAGGCGGUACUUGUCAGGGUCACCCACUGGGCCCUGGUAGAAGGGCCUCAUAAUGGAGUUGGGUGCGGAGGAAUGGCCCAGACCCAGGGCGUGGCCAAACUCGUGAACAGCUACAGCAAACAGUUGAUGGUGCUGAUACUGGGUACAGGGAUGAAGAGACCCAAGAAUGGACAGAGGAAGAGUGACCUUACACAAGUGCAGCCCCUCUCUUGAAGGGAAGACUGCUUAUAGAAGCUCAGAGCAGCAAGAACCCUGGGUGCCUGUAGUUCUCUCCAGGAAAACCGUGCUUUGGAGCAUUCCCUCCUCUAAGAUCUAGUCCAUGAGCAGAGGUCCCUGUUCCCCAUCCCCAACCCAGGUCCCUCCCACUCACCUUUCAUUUCCUCUGCCCCUAUUCCUUGGCCCACAUUCCCACAUCCUCUGUCCCCCCUCUGCCAUCUCCCCUGCCCACAGCUCCCCUCUCCCCUCCCCCUCCCCCUCCCUGGAGUCCUUGCCCCUCCUCUCCCUGGCCUUGUUCCAUCUCCACAGGAACAUGGAACUCCCUCCAGUAUGCACUCUCAGACCACAGCCUCUCUCAGCCUCUUCCCACCACAGAAACUUCUUCCCUGGAGAUCCAGCUCCAGCGACUGAGGGCCUAGUUCCUCAUCGAUCUGCCUGGCUCCUGCUCCCGUCAAAGGCCCCACCCAGAAGAGGCAGUGACAGAGCCAGGCAACACAUCAGACAUUGCCUCACUGUCAUGGAUGCAGUCUCUGAUGAGCUGUCAAGCCCUGACAGAGCCUGAGCACCAACUCCAGCUGCCCCUGCCCCACUCAGGCUCCCCCCAGCAGCUCACAGACAAGGACUGGCAAUGCCUUCACUUCCAGGGAACCUGACCUAGGAAGGAGCCCAAGUCUAGAGCAUGAUUCUCAGUGCUUGUAGCAUCCGCAUGGAACACUGGUGCACGGCAAACAGGCUCCACACCUGCACUCCUCCCACCUUGGGCCAGCCUGAUGCCCUCCCCCAUGUGCACUAACAGCAGCCAUCCUCCAGGACCUAUGCUGGAUCCUGGAUGUCAUUACACACUUCUUGUCUCCUGGUCCCCAGAAUCCAGCCAGAUCUUUGCUCAUCCCAUCCCUCCUGGCUUCCCUCAGAUCCAAACCCCCACCCCAUGGCCCACCUCCAUCUUUUACCUGGACCCUGCAGCAGCUUUGCCUCCCUGUCUCUCUCUACCCCCUCAUACAGCCAGCAAUAUUUCUAGAAUGCAAAAUCCUUUGAUGGGGCUGGGGUUGUGGCUCAGUGGUAGAGCACUUGCCUAGCAUGUGUGAGAAACUGUGUUUGAUCCUCAGCACCACAUAAAAAUAAACAAAUAAAGGCAU
Molecule: long non-coding RNA, 1852 nt
Organism: Ictidomys tridecemlineatus (thirteen-lined ground squirrel)
Lineage: Eukaryota; Metazoa; Chordata; Mammalia; Rodentia; Sciuridae
Source: RefSeq, a predicted model, not a curated record